UACGAGUGCCCCGAGCGUUAUCCGGAAUCAUUGGGCGUAAAGGGUGUGUAGGCGGUUGUGUUAGUCUUCUGUUAAAUUCUUCGGCUUAACCGGGGGCAUGCGGAAGAAACGGCACAACUAGAGGAUGCGAGAGGUAUAUGGAACUCAUGGAGUAGGGGUGAAAUCCGUUGAUAUCAUGGGGAACACCAAAGCGAAGGCAUAUACUGGCGCACUCCUGACGCUGAGACACUAAAGCGUAGGUAGCG
RNAcentral lists this ribosomal RNA (245 nucleotides) under uncultured bacterium. RNAcentral describes it as "partial 16S ribosomal RNA". It matches the Rfam family "Bacterial small subunit ribosomal RNA", at positions 524 to 770 of the family's 1533-position model. The record is from RNAcentral.